UGGGGAAUUUUGGACAAUGGGCGAAAGCCUGAUCCAGCAAUGCCGCGUGUGUGAAGAAGGCCUUCGGGUUGUAAAGCACUUUUGUCCGGAAAGAAAUCCUUGGCUCUAAUACAGUCGGGGGAUGACGGUACCGGAAGAAUAAGCACCGGCUAACUACGCGCCAGCAGCCGCGGUAAUACGUAGGGUGCAAGCGUUAAUCGGAAUUACUGGGCGUAAAGCGUGCGCAGGCGGUUUGCUAAGACCGAUGUGAAAUCCCCGGGCUCAACCUGGGAACUGCAUUGGUGACUGGCAGGCUAGAGUAUGGCAGAGGGGGGUAGAAUUCCACGUGUAGCAGUGAAAUGCGUAGAGAUGUGGAGGAAUACCGAUGGCGAAGGCAGCCCCCUGGGCCAAUACUGACGCUCAUGCACGAAAGCGUGGGGAGCAAACAGGAUUAGAUACCCUGGUAGUCCACGCCCUAAACGAUGUCAACUAGUUGUUGGGGAUUCAUUUCCUUAGUAACGUAGCUAACGCGUGAAGUUGACCGCCUGGGGAGUACGGUCGCAAGAUUAAAACUCAAAGGAAUUGACGGGGUCAUAGCUGUUUCCU
This 585-nucleotide ribosomal RNA is filed under the name uncultured bacterium. RNAcentral describes it as "partial 16S ribosomal RNA". It matches the Rfam family "Bacterial small subunit ribosomal RNA", at positions 355 to 1375 of the family's 1533-position model. The record is from RNAcentral.